RNAcentral lists this transfer RNA (82 nucleotides) under Planctomycetota bacterium. RNAcentral's name for it is "tRNA-Leu". It matches the Rfam family "tRNA". Rfam says of the family: Transfer RNA (tRNA) molecules are approximately 80 nucleotides in length. Their secondary structure includes four short double-helical elements and three loops (D, anti-codon, and T loops). Further hydrogen bonds mediate the characteristic L-shaped molecular structure. tRNAs have two regions of fundamental functional importance: the anti-codon, which is responsible for specific mRNA codon recognition, and the 3' end, to which the tRNAs corresponding amino acid is attached (by aminoacyl-tRNA synthetases). tRNAs cope with the degeneracy of the genetic code in two manners: having more than one tRNA (with a specific anti-codon) for a particular amino acid; and 'wobble' base-pairing, i.e. permitting non-standard base-pairing at the 3rd anti-codon position. Lineage: Bacteria; Pseudomonadati; Planctomycetota. The record is from RNAcentral.
GCGCGAGUGGCGGAACUGGUAGACGCGCAGGACUUAGGAUCCUGUGUCCUCGGACGUGCGGGUUCGAAUCCCGCCUCGCGCA